This 436-nucleotide long non-coding RNA is filed under the name Homo sapiens (human). Its description in RNAcentral is "HSALNT0164104". The record is from RNAcentral. Lineage: Eukaryota; Metazoa; Chordata; Mammalia; Primates; Hominidae.
UUCUCUGAUGCCACAGCAUGGGACCCCAGCAGGAGCCUACAUGGCAUGGGCAUGUGCAGUCUGGACGCACGUGGGGUAGUCCACCGCCCUGGGGAACCCUUGGUCAAUGCGGGACAGGAGCCGAUGCAUGAAUGCAUCCCCCCAUGGGUCGCGGUGUGGACAACUCCAAGAGGCAUUCAAUGUCCUGCACAGAGCUGCAGGUGGCUGACAGUUAUCUUCUACUGUGAGCCCAUGAUGCUGCAUGACGAAAUGUUUUGCCACCUUUUUUGGUGUAUUGCUGUCCAUGAUGCUGAAGCAUCCUUUGGUUCAGGGGUGAGUGGUUUCUCUUAUUCUUUGUCUACUCCUCUCCAACCUUCCCCAGGACUCAUGCUUUUUGUUAUUUAGUUUUUUAAUGGAAGAUUUUUUUUUAAACUGUUGCCGCAGAAAUAAAAUCAGG